RNAcentral lists this ribosomal RNA (505 nucleotides) under uncultured bacterium. Its description in RNAcentral is "partial 16S ribosomal RNA". It matches the Rfam family "Bacterial small subunit ribosomal RNA", at positions 30 to 523 of the family's 1533-position model. The record is from RNAcentral.
AUUGAACGCUGGCGGCAGGCCUAACACAUGCAAGUCGAACGGCAGCACAGAAGAGCUUGCUCUUUGGGUGGCGAGUGGCGGACGGGUGAGUAAUGUCUGGGAAACUGCCCGAUGGAGGGGGAUAACUACUGGAAACGGUAGCUAAUACCGCAUAACGUCGCAAGACAAAGUGGGGGACCUUCGGGCCUCACACCAUCGGAUGUGCCCAGAUGGGAUUAGCUAGUAGGUGGGGUAAUGGCUCACCUAGGCGACGAUCCCUAGCUGGUCUGAGAGGAUGACCAGCCACACUGGAACUGAGACACGGUCCAGACUCCUACGGGAGGCAGCAGUGGGGAAUAUUGCACAAUGGGCGCAAGCCUGAUGCAGCCAUGCCGCGUGUAUGAAGAAGGCCUUCGGGUUGUAAAGUACUUUCAGCAGGGAGGAAGGCGGUGAGGUUAGUAACCUCGCCGAUUGACGUUACCCGCAGAAGAAGCACCGGCUAACUCCGUGCCAGCCGCCGCAGUAA